UACAGAGGGGGCAAGCGUUGUUCGGAAUUACUGGGCGUAAAGGGCGCGUAGGCGGCCUGUUAAGUCGAACGUGAAAUCCCCGGGCUCAACCCGGGAACUGCGUCCGAAACUGGCAGGCUCGAAUUCGGGAGAGGGAUGCGGAAUUCCAGGUGCAGCGGUGAAAUGCGUAGAUAUCUGGAGGAACAUCGGUGGCGAAGGCGGCAUCCUGGACCGAUAUUGACGCUGAGGCGCGAAAGCCAGGGGAGCAAACGGG
Molecule: ribosomal RNA, 253 nt
Filed under: uncultured bacterium
Lineage: Bacteria
Description: partial 16S ribosomal RNA
Rfam family: Bacterial small subunit ribosomal RNA
Source: RNAcentral